Molecule: long non-coding RNA, 1200 nt
Filed under: Pogona vitticeps (central bearded dragon)
Lineage: Eukaryota; Metazoa; Chordata; Lepidosauria; Squamata; Agamidae
Description: lncRNA (ENSPVIG00000021586.1)
Source: RNAcentral
CUGGAUGUCCCCCUGACAUUGCAUUGAUGCACCUCGGUGGUAAUGACUUGACCUAGCAUGGGGCGAGUCAAUGGUAUUGCAGGUCAUUGUGGAUCUGCAGGUUUCUUGUUGUGUGUUUUCCCAGAACAUGCAUAGUGUGGUCAGCGAUCAUACCUCGUAUGGUAUGUAUGGCCCAAUGCAACCCCAGGUACAUUGAUAAAGCCUGGAAGGGAGUUAUCAGUGAAGUUUGUAAGGCCAUUAGGGCCAUAGGUGGGUCAGUGAUUUUGCAUCCUGACAUUUGAGUUAGUUGCCUCGAAUUAUACAGGGAGGAUGGGCUGCAUUUAUUAGAUUAGGGCUAGAUUUGUUCCUCCGGGAUUUACAAGGGGGCCUUAGGGCCGAAAUUUUCAGCUUGGGAGGUGGAGCAUAUGGUGUAACCCCUAGGCCCCUUGACACUGGUUCCAGACCUGUUUUGCACUACAACAGGCCCCCUUGUAAUACAGGAAGUUAAAGCAUUAAUACGUUAAUAAAAUUGUGGCCCUAUUUUAACCCAUACAUAUUGCAUCUCGUCUCAUUAUUCCGGGCUGGGCAGGCAAUGGGGGACUAGAGAAGUCUACAUUUUUUCCAUCUCCUAUCAACAGAAAUGUUGUUCUGAGAUGUUGUGACAUGUCUUGAAGUUGAUGGUUAAUCAUUCAUAGAUUUUGAAAGUUAUUGUUACAAAGACAGUAAAUACCAUAGGGUUAAAAUACUAAUUGCACAACCAAGUAUACUGAGGCCAAUGCCCUAGCAAAUUAAUUCCUUUAGUUACAACUGCCUAAUCUACUUCCUUAUAAAUUAAGAGGAAACCAUUUUCUGAAAAACAGCAUUUUUAAAUUGAAAGAUUUGUUAAAACCAAGUUGUUGUUUGGAUGCAAGUAUUAAUAUGUAUUUGUUCAUGUUCAGGUGAUCACUAAGCAGGUGGAUGCUCCCUAACCUGGGGAUGAGGCAGCCCACAUGACAUCUACAAGGAUGGUUGAUCCUACACCCUUGUUCAUACAAGCAUUUGCUUUUAAGGGUCAAUGUAACUAUUUGGUAAGUACAGUUUUGUCUCUUUUCUGUCUCUUUCUCCCUGCCUCCUUCUAUGAAAUAGACCAUAGAAAAUGAUUUUUAAAAAUAUAUAAUCAGAAACUUCUAUAAUUAUCCUAGCAACCUGAAUAUCAUAGAAAAAAACUUUAUCCAAUUCAAU